GGACAUAAGGCAAAGAUUAGAUUUAACUUGGGCUUACAACAUGUAAAUAGGCAAUAGACCCAAAAAUGACUUGCAAGCCUACAUAGCAGUUAAAGGAGUCCCAUGUUAAAAAUGUGGACUAUUAAUAUUCAUCAUCUCUUAUUUACCCAAUUUUAAUUAGGCUAACAAAAUAGCACUCCCAUUAUCAAUUUAGUGAUUCCAUAUAUUUUUAAUAAUUCUUGACAGAACAUCA
Molecule: long non-coding RNA, 232 nt
Filed under: Panax ginseng (ginseng)
Lineage: Eukaryota; Viridiplantae; Streptophyta; Magnoliopsida; Apiales; Araliaceae
Description: long non-coding RNA (PGIN_LNC004470)
Source: RNAcentral